AUGUUAAAUAAUGCUAAUUGAUCAUAAUUAUACUCUAACAAAAAGUUCAUCCUGAGAUUGUUCCAGCAUUCUCAGAUCAUCAUCAAGAAGCCACAAACACCUACAAUGGGAUUGCAGGAUAGAGCGCACAGUUCUGACUCGCGUCUAUUUGCAGGAAUAUCUGCACACUCUUGCUACUUCUACUGCUUGGUAUUCCUGGAAUGCAGGCUUCUCCUGUUCCUUGGAAAGCCUACCAUGUUUUUCUUUCUACUUCAGAGUGUGGCUAGUGUUGGCUCAUGCAUAUCAGAAUAUGUUACUCGCCAUGCGUGUUGUCUUUUGCAACCGAAUCCAGAGCCAAAGUAGAGCUCGUGGUGGUUGUUUUUCGCGAGCGAAUCCACAGCCAACGUAGAGCUCCCACUUCCUGCAUCAGAUCAAGAUCCUCAGACAAAUAAAGGUUGAUAUCUGAAAAGAAUUUGGAAGAUAUUCACAUCUUAUGCUCA
Molecule: non-coding RNA, 479 nt
Organism: Arachis ipaensis
Lineage: Eukaryota; Viridiplantae; Streptophyta; Magnoliopsida; Fabales; Fabaceae
Source: RefSeq, a predicted model, not a curated record